Long non-coding RNA from Macadamia integrifolia, 1080 nucleotides. RefSeq lists it as uncharacterized. NCBI's taxonomy places the organism in Eukaryota, Viridiplantae, Streptophyta, Magnoliopsida, Proteales, Proteaceae. The transcript has 2 exons. The record is from RefSeq and is a predicted model, not a curated record.
UCAAGGACAGACUGGAAAUGGGUUGAGAGGACUUGGUCUUCUUAAGGUGGCCAGCAGCAGUGACCACGGCAGGGACUUCAGCAGCAUCAGCAGUAUCAGCAACCACCAAAGAGGGGAUCCGAGCACAGGGAUCCCCUCAAAAAGGGAAGAGGAUCUUUGUCAUGCAAUCUCAUCAAUGAGUAAUUGUUUCUCAAACCAUUACUUUCAAAUAUAUAUGUUUUUAUGGAACCAAACACUGUCCCCAAGUAUAGAAAAAGAAACAAAAAGGGGGUGGGGGAAACCCUCAUUGCCCAACCGAUAGUGUGUGCCCAAAUCAUUUUAGAGCCAACACGGGUUAUUCGUUGCAACUCCAAUUGAAAGCACAAUCAUGAGAAAGGGAUGAAUACAUCGUGAGACUGCUUUUUGUCUUAUGCAGUUCUGUAUACUUUGUCAUAAUGCCAAAGGUUAAUACAUCCUGUGGUCAAAAUAAGAUAGAAGACCAAACAUAAAUGAAGUAUCAUGUUUGAACUAUUUUAGAAAGCUAUGUUGAGUACUGGGACUUACAAUUAUAACUUGGAAAGAUGCACAAAAAGAAGCAAAAUGUUUUUUUUUUUUUGCUUUAUAGGAGUGGUAUAAUUGUUGUUGUUUUAAGUGAAGAUCUGUGACUUGAUAUCAUCAUCAAGUGUGACAUUUUUAGUUCUUUGCAGAUAAAAGCUUCCCGGAAGGAGUUAGACAGGAUGCUUCAAGAACAAAGGUCGUAUUCUGUACAAGGGAAAUUGCUAAAGUACAAUCUUGGUCCUGAAGUGGUUGAUGCUCUCAAGGAUCUUAGGAGGAAGCUGUCUGAAAAUGAGUCAUAACACUGUUCUUUUAAAGUAUAUUUUCUUGUUCUUUAUCAAGCUUGUGAAGAAGCAAACCGUUCGGCCAUCAGUAGUCUCUCUUUAUUAGUUUGCAUACUGACCAUUGCUUUUCUGGACUAAACUGUGGUUUCUUAUUGUACAAAUUGGUUGCGUUUGUAUGUGCAUGAGAAAACAAAAUAAGUUUGUCUCCCACCCCUCAACCCCCAAAAGAAUGGAAAAAGUAAACAUUUCAAAUUUUUGCACA